This is a long non-coding RNA of Amphimedon queenslandica, 341 nucleotides long. RefSeq lists it as uncharacterized. The transcript is spliced from 3 exons. Lineage: Eukaryota; Metazoa; Porifera; Demospongiae; Haplosclerida; Niphatidae. The record is from RefSeq and is a predicted model, not a curated record.
GAUAAUGAUAUUGUAACGGAAUGCAGUCCAGCUUAUGCUACAACUGAAUUUAAAACAAAUACUGCUGAUGAUGUAUCAGUGAAGGAUGGUCCAACAUAUGAUACAGUACAACAAAGUGAACAAACACAAUCAACUGUUGAGCCAGUGUAUGAUACAACUAAUGAUGAAUAUGAGACUUCUCUUCCACCACCUUCUACUGAAUAUGAAAUACCAACUGUUUAAUAAUGGACUCUUCUUUUUAUGUUCUCAUAAUGUAUUUGAUGUGCAUACAACAUAACGUUACCAGUGGAUAAUAUUAUAUAAGAUGUGUUUGUGUUACAAUAAUAGAAAUGCUUAAUAAU